Molecule: ribosomal RNA, 466 nt
Filed under: uncultured bacterium
Lineage: Bacteria
Description: partial 16S ribosomal RNA
Rfam family: Bacterial small subunit ribosomal RNA
Source: RNAcentral
GACGAACGCUGGCGGUGUGCUUAACACAUGCAAGUCGAACGGUAAGGCCCUUUCGGGGGUACACGAGUGGCGAACGGGUGAGUAACACGUGAGUAACCUGCCCUCAUCUCUGGGAUAACAGUCGGAAACGGUUGCUAAUACUGGAUAUGAGCUUGCAAGGCAUCUUGUGGGUUGGAAAGAUUUUUUUGGUUGGGGAUGGACUCGCGGCCUAUCAGCUUGUUGGUGAGGUAGUGGCUCACCAAGGCUUCGACGGGUAGCCGGCCUGAGAGGGCGACCGGCCACAGUGGGACUGAGAUACGGCCCAAACUCCUACGGGAGGCAGCAGUGGGGAAUAUUGCACAAUGGACGGAAGUCUGAUGCAGCAACGCCGCGGGCGGGAGGACGGCCUUCGGGUUGUAAACCGCUUUCAAUUGUGACGAAGCUUUUUGUGACGGUAGCAGUAGAAGAAGCACCGGCUAACUACGUG